This 424-nucleotide ribosomal RNA is filed under the name Fusobacteriota bacterium. RNAcentral describes it as "Fusobacteria bacterium partial 16S ribosomal RNA". It matches the Rfam family "Bacterial small subunit ribosomal RNA", at positions 355 to 776 of the family's 1533-position model. Lineage: Bacteria; Fusobacteriati; Fusobacteriota. The record is from RNAcentral.
UGAGGAAUAUUGGUCAAUGGUCGAGAGACUGAACCAGCCAAGUCGCGUGAAGGAUGACUGCCCUAUGGGUUGUAAACUUCUUUUACAAGGGAAUAAAAUGAGAUACGUGUAUUUUAUUGCAUGUACCUUGUGAAUAAGCAUCGGCUAACUCCGUGCCAGCAGCCGCGGUAAUACGGAGGAUGCGAGCGUUAUCCGGAUUUAUUGGGUUUAAAGGGUGCGUAGGUGGGCUGUUAAGUCAGCGGUGAAAGUUUGUCGCUUAACGAUAAAAUUGCCGUUGAAACUGGUAGUCUUGAGUAUAGAUGAAGUAGGCGGAAUGCGUGGUGUAGCGGUGAAAUGCAUAGAGAUCACGCAGAACUCCGAUUGCGCAGGCAGCUUACUAAGGUAUAACUGACACUGAAGCACGAAAGCGUGGGUAUCAAACAGG